AUUGAACGCUGGCGGCAGGCCUAACACAUGCAAGUCGAACGAGUGGCGGACGGGUGAGUAAUGUCUGGGAAACUGCCUGAUGGAGGGGGAUAACUACUGGAAACGGUAGCUAAUACCGCAUACCAUCGGAUGUUCCCAGAUGGGAGUAGCUAGUAGGUGGGGGAAAGGCCAACCUAGGCGACGAGCCCUAGCUGGUCUGAGAGGGUGACAAGCAACACUGGAACUGAGACUCGGUCCAGGCUCCUACGGGAGGCAGCAGUGGGGAAUAGUGCACAAUGGGCGCAAUCCUGAUGCAGCCAUGCCGCGUGUAGGAAGAAGGCUUUCGGGUUUUAAAGUACUUGCAGCGGGGAGGCGUUACCCGCAGAAGAAGCACCGGCUAACACCGUGCCAGCAGCCGCGGUAAUAC
Molecule: ribosomal RNA, 406 nt
Filed under: uncultured bacterium
Lineage: Bacteria
Description: partial 16S ribosomal RNA
Rfam family: Bacterial small subunit ribosomal RNA
Source: RNAcentral